Molecule: ribosomal RNA, 478 nt
Filed under: uncultured bacterium
Lineage: Bacteria
Description: partial 16S ribosomal RNA
Rfam family: Bacterial small subunit ribosomal RNA
Source: RNAcentral
GACGAACGCUGGCGGCGUGCUUAACACAUGCAAGUCGAACGGGAUUUAGUAGACAGAAGCCUCGGCCAAAGAUUACUAAUGAGAGUGGCGAACGGGUGAGUAACGCGUGAGCAACCUGCCUAUGACAGUGGGAUAGCCUCGGGAAACCGGGAUUAAUACCGCAUAAAAUCGUAGAAACACAUGUUUUAACGGUCAAAGAUUUAUCGGUCAUAGAUGGGCUCGCGUCUGAUUAGCUAGUUGGUGAGAUAACAGCCCACCAAGGCGACGAUCAGUAGCCGGUCUGAGAGGAUGAACGGCCACAUUGGAACUGAGACACGGUCCAAACUCCUACGGGAGGCAGCAGUGGGGAAUAUUGCACAAUGGGGGAAACCCUGAUGCAGCGACGCCGCGUGAACGAAGAAGGUAUUCGUAUCGUAAAGUUCUGUCCUAUGGGAAGAUAAUGACAGUACCAUAGAAGAAAGCUCCGGCUAAAUACGUG